Molecule: ribosomal RNA, 259 nt
Filed under: uncultured bacterium
Lineage: Bacteria
Description: partial 16S ribosomal RNA
Rfam family: Bacterial small subunit ribosomal RNA
Source: RNAcentral
GUCCACGCAGUAAACGAUGAUAGCUCGUUGUCGGCGAUACACAGUCGGUGACUUAGAGAAAUCGAUAAGCUAUCCACCUGGGGAGUACGUUCGCAAGAAUGAAACUCAAAGGAAUUGACGGGGGCCCGCACAAGCGGAGGAACAUGUGGUUUAAUUCGAUGAUACGCGAGGAACCUUACCCGGGGCUUGAAAGUUAGUGACGGAUCAGGAAACUGGUCUUCCCUUCGGGGCACGAAACUAGGUGCUGCAUGGUUGUCGU